Molecule: ribosomal RNA, 253 nt
Filed under: uncultured bacterium
Lineage: Bacteria
Description: partial 16S ribosomal RNA
Rfam family: Bacterial small subunit ribosomal RNA
Source: RNAcentral
UACGGAGGUGGCAAGCGUUGCUCGGAAUCACUGGGCGUAAAGGGCGCGUAGGCGGGGAGGUAAGUCGGGUGUGAAAUCCCCCGGCCCAACCGAGGAACUGCGCCCGAGACUGCUUCUCUUGAGUCCCGGAGAGGAAGAUGGAAUUCCCGGUGUAGCGGUGAAAUGUGUAGAGAUCGGGAGGAACACCGGUGGCGAAGGCGGUCUUCUGGACGGUGACUGACGCUGAGGCGCGAAAGCGUGGGGAGCAAACGGG